GCUCAGACGGGCUUGGCGCUCUGAGGUCUGCAGGCUGCUGCUGCCGCCUUCUCUCAGCCUGAGCAGAGCUUUUCCUCCCGCAGAGGACAGGCGUCCCCUCCGCGCUUCAGGAACAUCCUUUGGGAGACCUAGAGCAGCUUUUUCCGACGCCGUGCUUCCUCGAAAAAUCCGCCUCGGUCUGCCUGCGUGAAGAAGGAGCUGCGGUGAAGAGAGAGAGCCUCCCUUCUUCAGCUGUUACAUCCCAGAUAUUCCAGGGUCCGUUCUCCAAACAGCCGGCCUUCCAUCAGCCUUUUUUGGAGCUCUGUGUUUAUGAAUUAAGAAGUUUUCUCCUCACCGCAGGAUGAGCCGCCUCGCAGCAAAGGGCUGACACCGUCCAUGCAAUAUGCAUGAAGAUGACGGACAAUGCAGGAGGAAGUGAACACGCGGAGUGCAUUUUGAAUACAAAUGCUUAGGGAGAGUAUUGGCUGGAUGCGGAGCACUUAGCAGACCACCCAAGGCUAGUGGAAGUGUUUCCUGGUGUCCGGCUGAUCGGGCUAAAGGAUGUUUUCUAUGAUCCUGAGGCCCAGCCGGGCCAAUAGAGUGGAUGAUAUCUGCUGGAUGAGUGUGAGCUCUUAAAUGUAAGGAGGCCCUUUAAUAAGCUAAAGGUGCUUUUACGUAUAUGUUGCAUUUAACAUCAGUAAAUCAUCAGUAGAAUAAUUUAGAGCCAUUAUAAAAGGACCCUAAGUGAAGUGUAGCCAAUUUCAGAUUAACAGUUGACAGUUGUUUGGCUGAAAACAGAUUACAUUUGAGAAGUGUGGCUUUUUUCAAAACAGAAAAAAUGUUUUGUAGAAAAAACUGCUCAAAGAAAGGAAGUAUUAUUUUGGUUUUUGGUCAUGAGUCCUUUAUCUACAGUAGGUAUCAUGAGUCAUUUAGUAAUGCUGUAUUGAUGUUGAAAAUGGCACACGUGACAUCUGUUAAGGAGUUCCCCAAUAAUUGACACUGUUUCACAAAAAUCGAAGCCAAAGAAAUUCAAACUAACCCAUAAUUUGUUCUAAUUAAUGCAAAUGAAAGCUGAGUUAACGUAGAACCAAUGCUGUUCCAUUCAUAUGUGGCGCUUCUCUGCCUGACCAAGUGACAAGGUUACGGUAAGGGAGUUGAUUUCACCAUGUCAACGCUCAGCCCAGCCUUUUUCUUUAAUUUUUCCAUCAUUGAUCAUUGAUGAAUCCAAAACGCUUCCUCACAUUACUUCUCGGGUGGUUUCAUGUGGUGAUAAUUCAGCAUGGCGGUUUCUCCAUUUUGUGCCUAUCUAUAGUCUUCACUGUGAUUUGAGUGUAAUUUGUGUUUAAAUU
Xiphias gladius (swordfish) is the source of this 1328-nucleotide long non-coding RNA. RefSeq lists it as uncharacterized. The transcript has 3 exons. The record is from RefSeq and is a predicted model, not a curated record. Lineage: Eukaryota; Metazoa; Chordata; Actinopteri; Istiophoriformes; Xiphiidae.